RNAcentral lists this long non-coding RNA (214 nucleotides) under Lathyrus oleraceus (garden pea). Its description in RNAcentral is "Pisum sativum (pea) long non-coding RNA (PSAT_LNC022200)". The record is from RNAcentral. Lineage: Eukaryota; Viridiplantae; Streptophyta; Magnoliopsida; Fabales; Fabaceae.
ACCAAAUUAUGAUCACAGGAUAACAGAUGCCAACUUACAGGGACUUAUAACUGUAUCCUCACAUACAAACAGAUAAACAGAAGAUAUGAGUGACCAAUGAGGUCUUACACUCUAUCCUUCCAUAUCACAGGAGCAAAUGCCAAAGCAAUGGACUUACAAUUGUCCUCAAUGGGCAAACAACAAUGAUAGCAUCACAAAACAGAUGAGAUGAUCA